UGGCCAGAGUGGUAGAAAUGUUGUUGC
RNAcentral lists this non-coding RNA (27 nucleotides) under Homo sapiens (human). Lineage: Eukaryota; Metazoa; Chordata; Mammalia; Primates; Hominidae. The record is from RNAcentral.